Molecule: non-coding RNA, 381 nt
Organism: Pelobates cultripes (western spadefoot toad)
Lineage: Eukaryota; Metazoa; Chordata; Amphibia; Anura; Pelobatidae
Source: the annotation of a GenBank genome assembly
CUGCAUACCUCCCAAUAAUCCUGGAUACCGGUUCCUGUCCCACGAUCCCAGGUUUGUUCCCUUGUGUCUCUAAUCUGGUGACACCAAGGAAUGGCCAUUGAAAGCAAUAAAUGCUCUAGUGCUGUGCAGAGAAACCUCAGGUCACUGAGGCCAUGGCAAGAUCCUUCAGCAGGGCUUUGCACAUGGUCUGCCCUAUGUGGGGUUGGCUGGAGACAUACCUCCCAUCUGUCCUUAUUUUGUCAGGACAGUCCCUAUUUCAGGGUCCUGUUGUCUCCAAUUUGUUCCAUGGUGUCCAGUUUUUGGUGAACUGUCCCCACACUCGCGCAGUGCUCAGGACACUAUGACCAUGUAGACAGGGAAGAAACACUGCUUGAUUGGCAG